GUGCCAGCAGCCGCGGUAAAACGUAGGUGGCGAGCGUUAUCCGGAUUUACUGGGCGUAAAGCGUGUGCAGGCGGGGUAUCAAGUGGUGUAUGAAAUCGCUCGGCUUAACCGGGCGCGGUUAUGCCAGACUGAUACUCUGGAGUGCGGGAGAGGGGCGUGGAAUUCCGGGUGUAGUGGUGAAAUGCGUAGAGAUCCGGAGGAACCCCAGAGGCGAAGGCGGCGCCCUGGCCCGACACUGACGCUCAGACACGACAGCAUGGGGAGCGAACGGGAUUAGAUACCCGUGUAGUCC
Molecule: ribosomal RNA, 292 nt
Filed under: uncultured bacterium
Lineage: Bacteria
Description: partial 16S ribosomal RNA
Rfam family: Bacterial small subunit ribosomal RNA
Source: RNAcentral